CGGGUGAGUAACGCGUGAGGAUCUGCCCUUCAGUGAAGGAUACCCUUGAGAAAUUAAGGUUAAUACUGCAUACGUCCCUUUGAAAUAUAAGGGAGAAAGAUGGCCUCUUGCUGUCGCUGAAAGAUGAACUUGCGUUCUAUUAGCUAGUUGGUGGGGUAAAGGCUCACCAAGGCGAUGAUGGAUAGCCGGCCUGAGAGGGUGAACGGCCACAUUGGAACUGAGAAACGGUCCAGACUCC
RNAcentral lists this ribosomal RNA (238 nucleotides) under uncultured bacterium. RNAcentral's name for it is "partial 16S ribosomal RNA". It matches the Rfam family "Bacterial small subunit ribosomal RNA", at positions 103 to 339 of the family's 1533-position model. The record is from RNAcentral.